UUAUUUGAAACAGGAUACAACCUCGCACACCGGGUAAGCAAAGGACAACAAAACCAAGUGGGCCUAAAAGCAGCCAUCUUUAAGAAAGCGUUACAGCUCCACCACACCCAACCCAAAAAUCAUUUCAACACCGACUAACCCUUAACCCCUACUGAACCAUUUUAUAUUAUUAUAAAAACUAUUAUGCUAGGACUAGUAACAAGAAUUUGCUUUUCUCCUUAAUAUAAACAUAAGCCAAAACGGACCAUCCAUUGGCAAUUAACGUUAAUGAGCUUACUAUAAUAACAACCAUACUAGAAAACCCUAUAUUUCUCUAACGUUUACCUCACACCAGAAUAUUAAAGGAAAGAUUCAAAGAAAGAGAAGGAACUCGGCAAACUUCAACCCCGCCUGUUUACCAAAAACAUCGCCUCUUGACAAACAUAAGAGGUCCAGCCUGCCCAGUGACAAUGUUCAACGGCCGCGGUACCCUAACCGUGCGAAGGUAGCAUAAUCACUUGUUCUUUAAAUGAGGACUUGUAUCAAUGGCAUCACGAGGGUUGUACUGUCUCCUCUUUCCAAUCAGUGAAACUGAUCUCCCCGUGAAAAAGCUGGGAUUUUAAU
This 603-nucleotide ribosomal RNA is filed under the name Hylarana sp. BLS-2007b. RNAcentral's name for it is "partial 16S ribosomal RNA". The stretch from base 348 to 595 matches the Rfam family "Archaeal large subunit ribosomal RNA", at positions 1787 to 2143 of the family's 2987-position model. Lineage: Eukaryota; Metazoa; Chordata; Amphibia; Anura; Ranidae. The record is from RNAcentral.